This 324-nucleotide long non-coding RNA is filed under the name Mus caroli (Ryukyu mouse). RNAcentral's name for it is "lncRNA (MGP_CAROLIEiJ_G0003892.1)". Lineage: Eukaryota; Metazoa; Chordata; Mammalia; Rodentia; Muridae. The record is from RNAcentral.
AAUAAAUAAAAUGCAGGCCGGACACGGGAUUUUUUUAAAAACUAAGUAAUGGCAGGCAACAAGACAAUCCCAGAGAGAUGAAGUGACUGACCCAAGGUUACACAGAGUGGAAUCUGUAUCUUCUGAUUUCUCUACUGGCCUGCACUCCAUGUUCUGAGGAGGAAUCCUUGAAGCUACUGAGAUAAUGGAACAAUGGAGUAGAUAGUCCAUUAUAACUCAUCUGGGAUUCUUCUCAUCUUCAAGUGACCACAGGUGGAAACAGUCUGGUAACACCACGCUUCCGAAGGUGAUUGUGGAGCUAGAUUGCUUAACCUUGGGUAAGUC